AAGUUAGAAAGCAAGAUGGAUUUCUAUGUUGGUGAAUUUUGAAUUUGCAACCUCUAUGCAAGUUGAACAUUGACUGUAACUGCAAUUGAUUGUGUAUAGGUAUCUUUGAUUGAAAGUAAGGAGAAGAAAAUGAAAUGGGAAAGCUUUGUUGUGAGGCAAAGUAGAAUUUUAGGGAUUUGCGAUAUUGUAAACUCGGAUGUGUGCGGAAUGAUAAACUUCAAUCUUCUGAGAAUUCACGAUCCCUAUCGUCGGAUUUUGGGUAUGUAUUUGAUUCUGAACAUUUUUUUUUUUUUGGUGACUCGUGAGCAUUGGUUUUUGAUUGUUAUUUGUUCACAGUGAAUGAAACCUCAUUUAUUAUGUGAUUCUAUAGACUAAUCAAAUCAGUACUAAAGCAAUUAUAAUUUUUUUAUUUUUUUGUUUUUGUUUUUUUUUUUUCUGUAUUUUUUUUUAUUCUUUGACAUCUAAAAAUGAAUUUAGAGUACGCUACUUUCGAAUGUUCUAAACAUUAAAUUACCUUGGCAUUGCAGCAAAGUUUAAUCUUAGAAGAUAUUUAUGUAAGUAUGGUAUGGAAAGAAUUGGAGUUUUAUCUUGGUUGUCAAACUGAGCUACUUUAAAAUGCUUCGACGUUGCUUCUUAUGAAGGUUUAUCUCUCUCUCCCUCUCUCUUUUUAUAUAACUUAAAGUUGUAUAUAACUGUAACACCCAUUUAUAUUUAUUAAAACUAACUUGUGAUGUUUGUUGUUGGUGAGCCAAGUAAUUCACCCUAACCAAAACCCAUUUUGAAUACAUAAUAUCAAACAAUCCUUGAACACCCAAAGGACUAGGCAAAAGAAGCUGCAAGUGCAAGUGAGGUGUAGUAAAAUGCCACCCUUUGAAGUAAGCAGUUACCUCAAAUCCUAACAAAACCACAGAUAACCAUAAAAGGAACUUGAUACAAGUAUAGAAUCUGCUCUUCACAGCAGGAUUCUCAUUUCUAUUAAUCUGAAUGCCACUAUCGGCAUCAGUUCUACCAGAAGAAACUCGACGGCGAAUCGCAGCAGUUAAGCCUACCAUUGCAGAAGCAAUUGAAGCCAAACAUCCAGCAGCUUUGUGAGCUUUAAGAAGAAGAACCCAAGUAAGUUGCUUGGCAUUCUUCUCUCUACCUUUAUCACCACUUAAAUGUAAAUCAUCUUCAAGUUCAAGCAUAGACCAAUUGGGGUUUUGCAUCUUCACAACAACUGGUGUUCCUUCAAGUUUCUCAUUUGCAAACCAAUCAAAAGAAGGAGCCAUAUUCAAAAAUCUCAAAUACCCACUUCACAAAAUCAAAUUUCAAACAACCCCUUUUCUUCUCAAAACUCAAAUCACUCAAAAAUUUAAACUUCAAUACACCACAUCAAUGUUCUUCAAUAUCUCAUUUACAGAAAAAAAAAAAACAGAACAAAACCAUUAAUGAAGAAGAAGAAUGAAAAGAGAAACAAUAGAAGGAGAAAUAAAAGCAAAAGAAAAUCGAAUAAGAUAUGACAGUGGUUGUAGUGGUGGAACCGAAUGAUGGCAUGGAUGAUGAAUUAGAGAGGAGAGAGAAAGCAGGUGUGCUGAUGGUGGCGGUGGUGGUGGUGGUGGAAGAGAAGCGAAAAGGAGAUGAGGAAGGGUUGCAGAAAUUGAAGAUUUGUUGUUGUUGAACAAGAAGACGAGGAGUUUGUUAUAGUGAAGGAGGAGGAGGAGGUGGUAACAGUUAGGUUUUGGUGGUGGUGGUGAUUUUCAUGAUCGAAAUCGAUCUCCUCCUCCACCUCCAAGAGAAAGAGAGAGAGAUUAUAAAAGAAGACUUAGCCCUAGUCCUCCUCCUUAUCGUGACCGUCGACAUUCUCCACCGCCUUCUAAUGCUGUAUGUACUAGUUUGAAGAAUUGAAGAAUUGAAGAGAGAAGAGAGAAGAGAGAAGAGAGAAGAGAGAAGAGAGAAGAGAGAAGAGAGAAGAGAGAAGAGCCCAAGGCCCAACUCCCAAGCCCAUAGUUAACGAGCUGCUCGGCUCGGCUCGGGCUCGUGACGAGCUCAAAAACCGGCUCGAACUCGGCUUGUUUAGAUAAAUGAGCGAGCCGAUCCGAGCUUUUAUCGAGCCGAGCCCGAGCCGCUCGGCUCAGAUUGCAGCCCUAAAAACUAUUGUUAAUUUUGGCCAUUUUACCUUUUGGCUUGUGUUCUGUUUGUCAAUGUUGGAGGUUUUCGGAAUGAAAAGAAUAGGAUUUUUCUCUUGCUUUCCGAACUCGAAUACUUGAAGCGGCUUCAGACUUUGCAUUGUAUUCAAGUGUAUAUCUCGUUCCUUCUCUCUUUCUCUAUAAACUGCAUUGCUGAAUUUUUUUAUUAAACCGCAUUGCGGAAUUCCUGAGAAUACCAUGUUUAUGUUGAAGUUGUAGACUUGUAGUAUCAUUCAGUAUGUUUAAUGUUAAACGAUUAAUUUGGCUACAUAGAUGUUCUUCUUUUGUGCAAUGCAAUAGACACAACAUGGAAGAGAUUUGCAAGUGGAAGUGAUAUUGCUUGAUAUUGUUGUAUGAAUGAGUUGAGCAAAUGUAAGUAUAGAAAUCAUAAAUCUUUAUUAAUCUGAAGGUAACACAAAGACAGAUUUUUUAUUUUUAGGACUUCUCAAAAGUAACCAAAGUGGAUAUAAGCAAAAGUAAAGGAUAGCCAAUUAUUGGAGCAAAUGAAACAUAAAGCUAAAGGAAAGUGGUUUUUCAGUUGUCUAAAGAUUGAUUCUUGAAUAGCGGCCGCUCACUGANNNNNNNNNNNNNNNNNNNNNNNNNNNNNNNNNNNNNNNNNNNNNNNNNNNNNNNNNNNNNNNNNNNNNNNNNNNNNNNNNNNNNNNNNNNNNNNNNNNNUUCUGUAUUUUUGUAUGUGUAGUUAUGAGGUAAAUUAUGUAAUAUAAAUUUGUGGGUAUUUUAGUGUAUUAUGCACGUUACCUCUUGUUCUUCUUUGAUUCGCUUGUUUUUCUUGUUUGUUGCGGCCUCUUCAAUUUCAUCAAGAUCCACAAUUUCUUUCCUUGCCUUUUUGUUGGGUGUUCUUGGUCCUGGGAAGCACCUGUUUUUUGGUAGAUGUAUACCGGUGACCAGAUUGGACGUGUAUAAUUGAUGGAUUAUUUAAUAUUUAUAUUGUAAUUAAUUUAGAGUCAAUGUUUAUAUGGUUUUACUUGAGUGGUCUCUGACAUAGCUUGAUCUUUGUCCUCUGCAGUUGCAUCAACAGUCAAUGUUGGGCAGGAAAAUUAUCCGUCAGGCCACUCUUUGUUUUUCUCAGUCACUUUAAUAUGGAAAUUUGCCUCCUUCCCUUCGACUUUCUCCAAGUACUCUUUGAUUAUAUCGAUUCCAUUGCUAGUAAUUUCUCUACAGAAUGGGUUUUCCGCUCCUUGUCCGAAUGCAGUUACCGUGACCAUAUUUGUAGCGUCGUAAAGCUGUAAAUGCAGCUUGCAUCUUGAAUUGAGAAAUUGUUAGAAUGCUUGUAGACAUAAAUUUAACAAAAUAAUAGUAGGUGAUUGUAAGUAUAUGGUAUGAAGGAGACGUACAAUAAGAAAGUAUUUUCUGUAGGUCCACAUUCCGGGCAUUGGGAAAUGAAGUACCCCUGUUUGUUUGCAAGAAGUUUAAGUUGGGAGCUUUAAAUUGUUAGUAAUAUGAGAGGCUAUUUUUCUCGGGGGGGCAAUAUUU
This 3659-nucleotide long non-coding RNA is filed under the name Aquilegia coerulea. RNAcentral describes it as "long non-coding RNA (ACOE_LNC001623)". The record is from RNAcentral. Lineage: Eukaryota; Viridiplantae; Streptophyta; Magnoliopsida; Ranunculales; Ranunculaceae.